GAUAGGAGGUGAGUAGAAGGCUGUUCUGUGUGUAGAACAUUCCUGGGUGUUAUAUUGUCUGAUCACCCCUUUGCUGCCCUGGAUGUUGUUUUGUACAUUUCUCAAGUAUUGCGUGUGUGUGUGUGUGUGUGUGUGCGCACGCGCGCGCGCACGCGCGCACAAUGUGUGCAUCUUGCAAAUAUCCAACUAAACUCUAAACUUCAUUGUAGGCCAGAACCUUGUCUCCGUGUGCUCAUUAUUGCCCUAAACAGAGGGCCUGCGCAGUACCCAGCACCAGGUAAACACUGAACGUCUGCCACGUCGACUUCUGCAUUUGUUUACGCUCUUCCUUAAAGACUGUUAGAGCUAAAGAUGGCUCGAGCUGUUAAGAAAUUCCUUCCCCGUCUCUGGUACUAUAGUGGCUCAUGAGCUUCUUUCGAUUAUGUUUCUUGUUGUCUUGGAAUCUGGCCUAUAAACAGAGAAUGCUAAGUGCACACCACAUCACAAUCAGCAAGGACUGGUCUUCACAGCUGACACGGAGAAUGGAAUGUGCUCCCUUUGUAGAGAUCGUGGCCCUGGAGAGAAGGUUCAAAUUUUCAUGAGCCAAACAACCGAUCAUAGCACCUUCCUGCCACCCAGGAUGUCCUGACUUCUAUAUGGGAACCAUCUGGGCCACCAUCAUGUGGUGUACAUCAUGAUCACCAUCAGUAAACUCGGAACAUCAUUGAAUUCCAAGAUCAAAGGAAACCUUAAAGAAAUGAAUGAGGCAACAUGUAGCCUAUUUUCUACUAGUGAGCAACUUACAUCCAUGAUGAAGCCAACACUCUUAUCAGAAGAGAGACAAAAGGAACUUGGAUCCUUGAUCACAUCGCUGAACUGGAAGAACCCAUCCUGACACACACUUCCAAGCACGUAAGCCAAUAAACGUACUUACUCGUGAA
Molecule: long non-coding RNA, 920 nt
Organism: Leopardus geoffroyi (Geoffroy's cat)
Lineage: Eukaryota; Metazoa; Chordata; Mammalia; Carnivora; Felidae
Exons: 2
Source: RefSeq, a predicted model, not a curated record